CGGACGGGUGAGUAAUGUCUGGGAAACUGCCUGAUGGAGGGGGAUAACUACUGGAAACGGUAGCUAAUACCGCAUAAUGUCGCAAGACCAAAGAGGGGGACCUUCGGGCCUCUUGCCAUCGGAUGUGCCCAGAUGGGAUUAGCUUGUUGGUGGGGUAACGGCUCACCAAGGCGACGAUCUCUAGCUGGUCUGAGAGGAUGACCAGCCACACUGGAACUGAGACACGGUCCAGACUCCUACGGGAGGCAGCAUG
This 253-nucleotide ribosomal RNA is filed under the name uncultured bacterium. RNAcentral's name for it is "partial 16S ribosomal RNA". It matches the Rfam family "Bacterial small subunit ribosomal RNA", at positions 99 to 353 of the family's 1533-position model. The record is from RNAcentral.